CGCGUAGGUGGUUUGUUAAGUUGGAUGUGAAAGCCCCGGGCUCAACCUGGGAACUGCAUUCAAAACUGACUGACUAGAGUAUGGUAGAGGGUGGUGGAAUUUCCUGUGUAGCGGUGAAAUGCGUAGAUAUAGGAAGGAACACCAGUGGCGAAGGCGACCACCUGGACUAAUACUGACACUGAGGUGCGAAAGCGUGGGGAGCAAACA
RNAcentral lists this ribosomal RNA (207 nucleotides) under uncultured bacterium. Its description in RNAcentral is "partial 16S ribosomal RNA". It matches the Rfam family "Bacterial small subunit ribosomal RNA", at positions 568 to 774 of the family's 1533-position model. The record is from RNAcentral.